CAGUAGCCGCGGUAAUACGAAGGGGGCUAGCGUUGUUCGGAAUUACUGGGCGUAAAGCGCGCGUAGGCGGACAUUUAAGUCAGGGGUGAAAUCCCGGGGCUCAACCCCGGAACUGCCUCUGAUACUGGGUGUCUAGAGUUCGGAAGAGGUAAGUGGAAUUGCGAGUGUAGAGGUGAAAUUCGUAGAUAUUCGCAGGAACACCAGUGGCGAAGGCGACUUACUGGUCCGAUACUGACGCUGAGGUGCGAAAGCGUGGGGAGCAAACAGGAUUAGAUACCCCCGUAGUCCCUGUCUCUUAUAA
This 301-nucleotide ribosomal RNA is filed under the name uncultured bacterium. RNAcentral describes it as "partial 16S ribosomal RNA". It matches the Rfam family "Bacterial small subunit ribosomal RNA", at positions 509 to 809 of the family's 1533-position model. The record is from RNAcentral.